AAUAACUUACCAAACAUGAAAGUGAAUUUUUUAUUAUAAAUAUGUGUAUCAGCAAGAGUGCUGAGUGCAUCCAAAAUUCAAUACAAUUGCUCACUAGAUAAAUACAACCUAUUAAACGCAGAAAAUGGAGAAGAAAAUUUUACAAGUGUCAGCUUUGGCUAUCCUUUUCUUCCUUCUUACAUCCUGUAAGUACACGUUCAGGUUCACUUCCUAUGCUAUACUAUGAGAUGUUGUACUAAUUUACGUUUACGUACGCACGUAUGUAGGUGUCAUAUCAUCGACAGCAUCAGAUGUCAUCGCUGACGGCGGAAAGACUAAUGAACUCCACUGUACACAAGACAAAGAUUGUAACAGACUCCUUUGUGUGAAUCCUAAACCCGCAAGGUGUUUGAAUAGUGUUUGUCAAUGUCAGCCCGACGCAAAAAGAUGAACACCUUAAGAAUGGAAAUGGAUUGAAUGUAUUAGCUCAAUGAUUUAUAUGUGUUGGAUCAAGUAAUUAAUAAAAGCUAGCAUCAGUCCCGGCCUUAUCGUAAAUCGGUCCCUUUUUUCGUGUCCUCGCUGAUAGAAAUCACAGCCGAUGUCGUUCCAUUUACAUGAUUAGCGAACACAACGUUAGUAAACCUCGUUCGUCGUUGGAUUUUUUCGUUACUAUUUACAGUGAAGAGUGUUUGAAGGCCUUCGUCAAUUUCGGAAGGAAAUAUUCGAGGGGUCUCUUUUCUUUUUUUAUAAUUGAGGUAAAAAUUCAUUAGUAGAAAUAUAAAUUAAACCAUUUUUUCCCAAAUAAGGGUUGCACAAAUUUGAAAUUUCGCAAAUAGGGUGUUCGAAGAAUUCAAUUAUCGAUCGGGUGGGUUUUUUGGCUGAUUGGAAGAGAUUGUCUCCGUACUAGUGACGAUGUGUGACAUCGCCAUUGACACUAGCGAUUUAUGGUCGACGUGACAAUCCAUGUCAUCAGCCGUUAAGGAAUCCAGACUAAUUAUGAAUUCUAUUUAUGAUAUUACCUUAUAAUCAAUUAUGGUAAUUUUUAUUUCCUUAUACAACAAUGAUAAAUAUGGAGUGUUUUCCAAUUUAGAUAUCCAAAUAUUUCACCUUGUUUCCAUUGACAACACAACUUUAAUUCCAUAAAUAAUAACUUACCAUACAUAAAAUGAAUUUCUUUUAAUAUAAAUAUGUGUACUUGCAACAGUGUCCACUGUCCAGACAUACUGUGGUACAAUUUGGAGUGCAUAAUCCAAAUAUCAUUACUCGCAAGAAAAAAUGGUGAAGAAAAUUCUCCAAUUGUCAUCUUUGGCUAUCAUCUUCCUCCUCCUUACAUCUUGUAAGUAACACACAUUUCAUGUUCACUUCCUAAAUUUAACACUAACUCCAUUUUAGUCAAGUAAAAAAAAUCUGAGAUGUCCAUAUACUGAUUUACACAUAUAUGUAGGUGUUAUAUCAUCACCAUCGUCAAAUGUUAUCAGUGACGGCGUAAAGACUAAUGUACUUCAUUGUACACAAGAUAAAGAUUGUUACCAACUUUCUUGCGUGGAAGGGAAACCCCCAAGGUGCUUGAAUAGUGUUUGUCAAUGUGAGCCGGGCGCGAAAAUAUGAACAACUUGAUAAUCGAUCGAAAUUGACAUGCGGAAAAGAUUGAUGCAAAUAGCAACACCCUUUAUAUGUUGUUGGAUCAAGUAAUUAAUAAAAGCGAGCUUCUAUACUAAACUAUGAAUCUAUAUAUCGCUUAUUCAGUCGUUU
RNAcentral lists this long non-coding RNA (1731 nucleotides) under Linum usitatissimum (flax). Its description in RNAcentral is "long non-coding RNA (LUSI_LNC005828)". The record is from RNAcentral. Lineage: Eukaryota; Viridiplantae; Streptophyta; Magnoliopsida; Malpighiales; Linaceae.